This 354-nucleotide ribosomal RNA is filed under the name uncultured bacterium. RNAcentral's name for it is "bacterial SSU rRNA". It matches the Rfam family "Bacterial small subunit ribosomal RNA", at positions 1 to 334 of the family's 1533-position model. The record is from RNAcentral.
ACACGUGAUUCAGAGUUUGAUCCUGGCUCAGGACGAACGCUGGCGGCGUGCUUAACACAUGCAAGUCGAACGGGAUUUAGUAGACAGAAACCUCGGUGGAAGAUUACUAAUGAGAGUGGCGAACGGGUGAGUAACGCGUGAGCAACCUGCCUAUGACAGUGGGAUAGCCUCGGGAAACCGGAAUUAAUACCGCAUAAAAUCGUAGAAACACAUGUUUUAACGGUCAAAGAUUUAUCGGUCAUAGAUGGGCUCGCGUCUGAUUAGCUAGUUGGUGAGAUAACAGCCUACCAAGGCGAUGAUCAGUAGCCGGUCUGAGAGGAUGAACGGCCACAUUGGAACUGAGACACGGUCCAA